GUAGUCCACGCCGUAAACGUUGGGAACUAGAUGUGGGGGCCAUUCCACGGCUUCCGUGUCGCAGCUAACGCAUUAAGUUCCCCGCCUGGGGAGUACGGCCGCAAGGCUAAAACUCAAAGGAAUUGACGGGGGCCCGCACAAGCGGCGGAGCAUGCGGAUUAAUUCGAUGCAACGCGAAGAACCUUACCAAGGCUUGACAUAUACGAGAACGCUGCAGAAAUGUAGAACUCUUUGGACACUCGUAUACAGGUGGUGCAUGGUUGUCGUCAGCUCGUGUCGUGAGAUGUUGGGUUAAGUCCCGCAACGAGCGCAACCCUCGUUCUAUGUUGCCAGCACGUUAUGGUGGGAACUCAUAGGAGACUGCCGGGGUCAACUCGGAGGAAGGUGGGGAUGACGUCAAAUCAUCAUGCCCCUUAUGUCUUGGGCUUCACGCAUGCUACAAUGGCCGGUACAAAGGGCUGCAAUACCGCAAGGUGGAGCGAAUCCCUAAAAGCCGGUCUCAGUUCGGAUUGAGGUCUGCAACUCGACCUCAUGAAGUCGGAGUCGCUAGUAAUCGUGGAUCAGCAACGCCACGGUGAAUA
RNAcentral lists this ribosomal RNA (581 nucleotides) under uncultured Leifsonia sp. Its description in RNAcentral is "bacterial SSU rRNA". It matches the Rfam family "Bacterial small subunit ribosomal RNA", at positions 790 to 1368 of the family's 1533-position model. Lineage: Bacteria; Bacillati; Actinomycetota; Actinomycetes; Micrococcales; Microbacteriaceae. The record is from RNAcentral.